RNAcentral lists this ribosomal RNA (253 nucleotides) under uncultured bacterium. RNAcentral's name for it is "partial 16S ribosomal RNA". It matches the Rfam family "Bacterial small subunit ribosomal RNA", at positions 524 to 776 of the family's 1533-position model. The record is from RNAcentral.
UACAGAGGUCUCGAGCGUUCGGGGGAAUCACUGGGCUUAAAGCGUGUGUAGGCGGAUCGUUAAGUGCCUUGUGAAAUCCCACGGCUCAACCGUGGAACUGCUUGGCAUACUGGCGGUCUUGAGCAACCUAGGGGCGAGCGGAACAAAUGGUGGAGCGGUGAAAUGCGUAGAUAUCAUUUGGAACGCCAAUGGUGAAAACAGCUCGCUGGGGGUUUGCUGACGCUGAGACACGAAAGCCAGGGGAGCAAACGGG